This 253-nucleotide ribosomal RNA is filed under the name uncultured bacterium. RNAcentral's name for it is "partial 16S ribosomal RNA". It matches the Rfam family "Bacterial small subunit ribosomal RNA", at positions 524 to 776 of the family's 1533-position model. The record is from RNAcentral.
UACGGAGGGUGCGAGCGUUAAUCGGAAUUACUGGGCGUAAAGCGCACGCAGGCGGUUUGUUAAGCUAGAUGUGAAAGCCCCGGGCUUAACCUGGGAUGGUCAUUUAGAACUGGCAGACUAGAGUCUUGGAGAGGGGAGUGGAAUUCCAGGUGUAGCGGUGAAAUGCGUAGAUAUCUGGAGGAACAUCAGUGGCGAAGGCGACUCCCUGGCCAAAGACUGACGCUCAUGUGCGAAAGUGUGGGUAGCGAACAGG